GUGCUUACUUCAGCAGCAUAUAUACUAAAAUCAGAAUGAUACAGAGAAGAUUAGCAUGGCCCCUGUGCAGGGAUGACACAAAAAUUUAUGAAUCGUUAAAAAAAAGA
Small nuclear RNA from Cricetulus griseus (Chinese hamster), 107 nucleotides. The record is from Ensembl. Lineage: Eukaryota; Metazoa; Chordata; Mammalia; Rodentia; Cricetidae.